AGGGAAGAGAGAGAGGAGAGGAGAUGGAGCCUGACAACAUCCAAUAACUCCUGCCAUUCCCUCCCUUAGCUAAGUAAAAUAAAAGGCGUGUUUCCUUAACCAAAAAUGUAUUAAAUAAAAAAAUAUAAAAAAUAUAAAAUCAAACGGUGUCGUUUCCUGAUUUGAAUCACCGUUACUUCCGAUUACUCCUUCCUUUCUUCUUUCCCCACUUUACUGGUACAAUCUGUUCCUCUUGGUCUGUAGAUGAGAUGUGUUCUUCGUCGUCAUCAUGACAGAAAAUUAGUAUCUGAGGGUCCGAGGACGCAAGAUUAAUUUUUGAGCUGGAAAAUGGGAAGAGAGUCCUUUAUGCUGCCACGGGCACGAACGGAAUUUUAUUUACAGCGGCAGAGGACAGAAAUGUGAUGGCACGGGAUAAAGCCAGUGGGAAAAGCGUCAAUGGCAUAUAGCAUUGAAGAUGUUCGGAUGGGCUAAUAAGUUGAAGACGAGUCCAAUGGCGGUGGCUAAUAACAGAUCCAGGCUCACUUUUCUUGCAGAAUCAUCUAUCAAAUGUACGAGGUAAAAGAAAGCAACACGGGAAGCAAGUAGAUGACCUUUUUGUUAAAAGCAGCCACUUUGUCGGAACCUUCUUCAACAAUCGUCUCAAGUUUUGGGGCGUUGGAAGCUCUGUAAGGGGAAAUCAGAGGAGAAGGAGCAACCUCUACCCAAUUGUGCAUGUAACUCAUUUGCUUUCUCAUGACUGUCAAUGAAGGAGAGAGGUUUCUUGAACAGAAUGAUUGAUGAUUCAACAGAACUUUUGUUCAGAGCCAAGAGGAAUUUUGUUGGUAUGAAGAAGAAUUCUUGAAACAGCCUAUGUUUAAACUGGUUCUUGAGCUUAAGAAUAGGAAUAAUUUUAGGAGGAAAUCAAUGGCAAAAUAAAAGGACGA
Molecule: long non-coding RNA, 923 nt
Organism: Olea europaea var. sylvestris
Lineage: Eukaryota; Viridiplantae; Streptophyta; Magnoliopsida; Lamiales; Oleaceae
Exons: 3
Source: RefSeq, a predicted model, not a curated record